UACGUAGGUGGCAAGCGUUGUCCGGAUUUACUGGACGUAAAGAGCGCGCAGGCGGUCGUUCAAGUCGCGUGUGAAAGCCCCCGGCUCAACUGGGGAGGGUCACGCGAUACUGAUCGACUCGAAGGCAGGAGAGGGAAGUGGAAUUCCCGGUGUAGUGGUGAAAUGCGUAGAUAUCGGGAGGAACACCAGUGGCGAAGGCGACUUCCUGGCCUGUUCUUGACGCUGAGGCGCGAAAGCUAGGGGAGCAAACGGG
This 253-nucleotide ribosomal RNA is filed under the name uncultured bacterium. RNAcentral's name for it is "partial 16S ribosomal RNA". It matches the Rfam family "Bacterial small subunit ribosomal RNA", at positions 524 to 776 of the family's 1533-position model. The record is from RNAcentral.